This is a non-coding RNA of Myxocyprinus asiaticus (Chinese sucker), 504 nucleotides long. The record is from the annotation of a RefSeq genome assembly. Lineage: Eukaryota; Metazoa; Chordata; Actinopteri; Cypriniformes; Catostomidae.
AUGCUUCAGUGAUCUGAGAGUGUUUAUAGUGCUGUGAGUUUAACACUUCAUGACUGACAGCAGAACAGAACACAAUCUUCAUCAUCACACAACACAAAACAACAACAAUGACCUUCAGCAUCAUCUUCAUCUGGACUUUUUAUAUGUGUUUUCAAGGUUUCAGUGGACAGGUGACUGUGACUCAGACUCCCUCGAUACAAAUGGUUCAGAUUGGCGGAUCUGUCACUAUAAGUUGCAAAACUAACACAUUAGUGAGCAAUGGCUGUCCUGGUUCAUAUACUUGUAUGGCCUGGUACCAGCAGAAAUCUGGAGAGGCUCCUAAACUACUUAUUAAAUAUGCGAGCCAAAGGCAGUCAAAUAUUCCAUCUAGAUUCAGUGGCAGUGGAUCAAGAACUGAUUUCACUCUGACCAUCAGUGGAGUCCAGACUGAAGAUACAGGAGAUUAUUACUGUCAGAGUGCACACUACAUAAGUAGUAGCUGGGUGUUCACACAGUGAUAAAGAG